GUGAUUUCUAUGACUUUGUGUACAUAAUUCGGCAUUUUGUACAAAUGUAGGCCAAUAAUAAAUAUAUGGUAUGAUUUCAUUCAUUUCAAAGGUUUAUUUGCAUGACGCACAAACAGACACAAUUGAAAGGUACACAUGUAUUGUGCAUGAAACGAAUUCAAACGUGCUGCAGAUGUGUGUCACAAGUUGAUCUGGCUGUAGGCUGUGGCACUUGGCCAGAGGUGGCGCUGGUUGAUUCGAGUCCAUGUUAGUGCACACAAAGUAAACUGCACGCUUUAGUUUUGAGCAUAAAACGCUGAAACCGGAGAAAUAAAACGUGCGAGGGGAACGAUAAUGACGACAAGAGUCUCCCGAUCGUUUAUUCUCGCUGUCCUGUGAACAACACCGGCGUGGUGUUAAUUGUUUGCUGUUUUCGCGAUCGUGUCGAGCAUGAGGCUAUCACCAGCAGCUCCUGAAACGCAAGACUGCCACACAUCUGUUCGACCAACGCCAGUUGAUCUAAACGCCAGUAGAUCUGGAACACCGGCAAGAGAAUAAGCUUGAAAAGGGUUUGUCUUUUCAUUCUUUCCCAACCUGGAAGCAACAUGAGGCAGCUCGUGUAUCGGAUGUUACCAAACGAAGGCGUCUAGUCUGGAUAGCAGCUGUGAGACGAGCUGAUAUCCAGUUCUCUUCCAUCUCCAAAUAUCUGUUGGUGCUCCAGACAUUUUCAUUCCGCAAACCAGCCUAUGAAAUGGAUGCAACACAUCGUGACUGGGUUCCAGCGCUACACAAGGGACCUGCUUCAAACAUACCACCAUGCCAAUCAGAUCACUUCUUCCAUGUGAGGGUGAAGAGGUGACCCUUCUGGAUAAGAUGGUGAAAGUUUGCUGCGUUUGUUAAACAGUGUGGUAGUAAAACCAGGGAAAAUGAAACUUGCGCCUGUUAAAUAUUCUUAAGUCUUUUGCUGUAUAAAUAGUGGUAUUUUUUUUUUUCAAAAGAUACAGUAAAUAAUGUUAGUAGUGUGUGAUAUCAUGUAAACACUGUCAUGAUUUUAUGUAAACAUUUUGUCAUUUGUAAACUAUAAAUGACAUGGAUUCUACACUGUAACUGAUGUGAUGUUCUAUAAAGUAGUUUUAAUUAAAAAAAAAAAAGGCAAAAAUUAGUUUGUUUCUUUAUUCAAUUUUUGAACAGUGGUACUCAGUCAGUACAUAUUCAGUAAAUGCAAAUUAUUUAUAUGGCAGUGCACUUCAGGCAUAAAUCUAGACCCCUAUAUAAAACAUUAUGGCAUUAUAG
Oreochromis aureus is the source of this 1272-nucleotide long non-coding RNA. NCBI's taxonomy places the organism in Eukaryota, Metazoa, Chordata, Actinopteri, Cichliformes, Cichlidae. The record is from Ensembl.